CCUACGGGAGGCUGCAGUGGGGAAUCUUGCGCAAUGGGCGAAAGCCUGACGCAGCAACGCCGCGUGCGGGAAGAAGGCCUUCGGGUUGUAAACCGCUUUCAGCAGGAACGAAACUGACGGUACUUUCAGAAGAAGGUGCGGCCAACUACGUGCCAGCAGCCGCGGUGACACGUAGGCACCAAGCGUUGUCCGGAUUUAUUGGGCGUAAAGAGCUCGUAGGCGGUUCGGUAAGUCGGGUGUGAAAACUUUGGGCUCAACCCAAAGCGUGCACUCGAUACUGCCGUGACUAGAGUUCGGUAGGGGAGUGGGGAAUUCCUAGUGUAGCGGUGAAAUGCGCAGAUAUUAGGAGGAACACCGGUGGCGAAGGCGCCACUCUGGGCCGAAACUGACGCUGAGGAGCGAAAGCGUGGGUAGCAAACAGGCUUAGAUACCCGUGUAGUC
RNAcentral lists this ribosomal RNA (441 nucleotides) under uncultured Ilumatobacter sp. RNAcentral describes it as "bacterial SSU rRNA". It matches the Rfam family "Bacterial small subunit ribosomal RNA", at positions 338 to 795 of the family's 1533-position model. The record is from RNAcentral. Lineage: Bacteria; Bacillati; Actinomycetota; Acidimicrobiia; Acidimicrobiales; Ilumatobacteraceae.